GCAGAGACGUCAGUAGCGGAUCUUUUUGCUGCCGCAAAAUCGACCGCGCAACAGGCCCAAAAUGGCGCCGGUGCAGGCCCGGCGCCCAGAAGCCCGCCACAGCGCAGUGCCUCUCCAACGGAGCAUCAGGUGGGGGAUACCCCACAGAUCCUAGCUCAAUUAGCAGAGCUCAAACACUACCUGGCAGGGGAGAUACAGAAAUCCACUGCGGUCCUGCAGAAUGAGAUCCAGGCACUGGGAGUCAGAACUGCGAGACUGGAGCACAAACAGGAGGCCACAGUGGAUGCCCACAACUCAGCGGUCCUCCAGAUUAACCGCCUCACAGCUCGUAUGAGAACAGCUGAGCUGGCUAUAGAGGAUAUGGCCAACCGAUCCCGACGGAACAAUUUACGCCUCCGCGGGCUCCCAGAGACCGCCGGGGAAGGCCCACUGCAGGACCUACUCCACACCAUCC
Pelobates cultripes (western spadefoot toad) is the source of this 454-nucleotide non-coding RNA. Lineage: Eukaryota; Metazoa; Chordata; Amphibia; Anura; Pelobatidae. The record is from the annotation of a GenBank genome assembly.